This 468-nucleotide ribosomal RNA is filed under the name uncultured bacterium. Its description in RNAcentral is "partial 16S ribosomal RNA". It matches the Rfam family "Bacterial small subunit ribosomal RNA", at positions 28 to 507 of the family's 1533-position model. The record is from RNAcentral.
GACGAACGCUGGCGGCGUGCUUAACACAUGCAAGUCGAACGGAAAGGCCCUGCCUUUGUUCGGUGGACGAGUUGCGAACGGGUGAGUAACACGUGAGUAACCUGCCCUUGACCUUGGGAUAACUUCAGGAAACGGUAGCUAAUACCGCAUAGGAGCUCAUGCUGCAUGGUGGGGGCUGGAAAGUUUCGGCGGUUGGGGUAGGACUUGCGGCUUCUCAGCUUGUGGGGGUUGUAGUGGCUUCCCAAGGCUUAGACGGCUAGCCGGCCUGAGAGGGUGACCGGCCACAUUGGGAUUGAGAUACGGCCCAGACGCAUACUGGAGGCAGCAGUGGGGAAUAGUGCACAAUGGGCGGCAGCCGUAUGCAGCAACGCCGCGUGCGGGAUGACUGCCUUCGGGUUGUAAACCGCUUGCGCCUGUAAAGAAGCGUGAGUGACGGUAAUUGGUAAGGAAGCAACGGCUAACUACGUG